RNAcentral lists this ribosomal RNA (367 nucleotides) under uncultured organism. Its description in RNAcentral is "bacterial LSU rRNA". It matches the Rfam family "Bacterial large subunit ribosomal RNA", at positions 2099 to 2465 of the family's 2925-position model. The record is from RNAcentral.
CUUUACUGUAGCCUGGUAUUGGGUUCGGGCUUUGACUGCGCAGGAUAGAUGGGAGACUAUGAAGCUGCCCUUGUGGGGGCAGUGGAGUCAUCAGUGAGAUACCACUCUGUCAAGGCUAGAAUUCUAACCGUCUGCCGUUAUCCGGCGCCGGAACAGUAUCAGGUGGGCAGUUUGACUGGGGCGGUCGCCUCCUAAAUGGUAACGGAGGCGCGCAAAGGUUCCCUCAGGCUGGUUGGAAAUCAGCCGAAGAGUGUAAAGGCAGAAGGGAGCUUGACUGCAAGAGCAACAACUCAAGCAGGGACGAAAGUCGGCCUUAGUGAUCCGACGGCGGUGAGUGGAAGGGCCGUCGCUCAACGGAUAAAAGUUA